This 76-nucleotide transfer RNA is filed under the name Deltaproteobacteria bacterium. RNAcentral describes it as "tRNA-Gln". It matches the Rfam family "tRNA". Rfam says of the family: Transfer RNA (tRNA) molecules are approximately 80 nucleotides in length. Their secondary structure includes four short double-helical elements and three loops (D, anti-codon, and T loops). Further hydrogen bonds mediate the characteristic L-shaped molecular structure. tRNAs have two regions of fundamental functional importance: the anti-codon, which is responsible for specific mRNA codon recognition, and the 3' end, to which the tRNAs corresponding amino acid is attached (by aminoacyl-tRNA synthetases). tRNAs cope with the degeneracy of the genetic code in two manners: having more than one tRNA (with a specific anti-codon) for a particular amino acid; and 'wobble' base-pairing, i.e. permitting non-standard base-pairing at the 3rd anti-codon position. The record is from RNAcentral. RNAcentral also lists the same sequence under 1 other name. Lineage: Bacteria; Pseudomonadati; Myxococcota; Myxococcia.
AGGGGUGUCGACAAGUGGCUAAGUCAGCAGAUUUUGAUUCUGCCAUUCGAAGGUUCGAGUCCUUCCACCCCUGCCA